AAACAAAGACAACUUAAAUGAAAACCCUAUUAUUUUAGACUGUGGAAAAUUAGAAGAACAAAUAAAUACUGACAAUAAUAAUAAUAAUAAUAAUAAUAAUAAUAAUAGUAAUAAUAAUAAUAAUAAUAGUAGUAAUAAUAAUAAUAAUAAUAGUAAUAAUAAUAAUAAUAAUAGUAAUAAUAAUAAUAAUGACACUCAUUUAUUUGUUAAACUUGGUGCAAGUAACAGUGAAAGUUUAUCAGAGAACAAAAAAGAAGAACAUAAUUUAAAAAAUAUGAAAAAAGAAUGUGUAUUGACAGAGGACAUGCAUAAUGGGUUGUCAAUGAAAGAAAAUAUAGAUAGUUUUCAAGGUGAUGAUGUAUAUAUGGGUAGUCCGGAAAAAAGUAAUAUACGCACAGAUGGACUACAAGACGAAACACAUAUAAACACUACGAAGAACGUUGAUAAAAAGAGUAUCGAAGUUUUAAAAAAAAAAGAAGAAGAAGAAGAAGAAGAAGAAGAAGAAGAAAUAAACAAAGCACUUGCAAUCUGUAGUUAUGAUGAAGGUGGUGAUGGUGGUGAUGGUGGUGAUGAUAAUGAUACAAAUCUAGAACUAAACGUUAGAAGUACUAGAAAACGUAGAGUAACAUAUACUGCAUUUUUUUCAAGUAGCACGAGUUCAGAAAGUUUGUAUUUUAAGUCCAAAUAUUAUCACUUAGAAAAACAAAAAAAUAAAAAAAAAGUUAAAAAAAAAGAAUUCAAAAAGCCAAAGGGAAAGACAGGAACAGACAUAACAAUAAAAAAGAAAGAUGACAAAAGUGUUGCUGAAAAAAAGAAAGAUGACAAAAGUGUUGCUGAAAAAAAGAAAGAUGACAAAAGUGACGACCGUGGUAAGAACAACAAGAAUGAAAAUAUCGAUAGUAAAAAGGUGGUGGAACAAGUUGAGCAAAUUGAGAUAGGCGCUGAAAAAAUAGGAAUGUCUUCGCCAGGAAUAGGUUUGCUAGAAGUAGGGCAAGUCGAGGAAGAACUAGAACCUUUCAUGACAGAAAAUGAAAAGAAAAAGACCCAAAAAAAACGUAAAAAUACAAAUGUAUUGCAUGUAGAAAAAAAUAAUAAUAAAGAUAAACUUAGCUUAAAUAAAAGUACAAGCAAAAAUAAAGAUAAAGAAAGUUUAAAUAAAAGUAAAAAAUACGAUAGUAAUGAUGAAAUAAAUGUAAUAGAGGAUGAUAUGAGUAUGCUUAAUAAUAAAAACAAAACAGGAGAAAAUGUUGAUAAGAUUAUUGGUACUGGUAAAACUAAAAACAUAAAAAAUAUAAAUAACAAAGAGAAAUAUAAUAAGGGUAUUGUCAGUAAAAAAAAAAGCAGGG
RNAcentral lists this long non-coding RNA (1346 nucleotides) under Piliocolobus tephrosceles (Ugandan red Colobus). RNAcentral's name for it is "lncRNA (ENSPTEG00000014698.1)". The record is from RNAcentral. Lineage: Eukaryota; Metazoa; Chordata; Mammalia; Primates; Cercopithecidae.